CAGUAAGAGAAAAUAGACUGUUUAGAC
Molecule: non-coding RNA, 27 nt
Filed under: Bombyx mori (domestic silkworm)
Lineage: Eukaryota; Metazoa; Arthropoda; Insecta; Lepidoptera; Bombycidae
Source: RNAcentral